Molecule: long non-coding RNA, 1535 nt
Organism: Syngnathus acus (greater pipefish)
Lineage: Eukaryota; Metazoa; Chordata; Actinopteri; Syngnathiformes; Syngnathidae
Exons: 2
Source: RefSeq, a predicted model, not a curated record
AUGAACACCUGCCGGUGAGAAAACGCAAUCUCAAGUCACACUUUUUAUACACCCCAAAUAAGCGAACCAAAGAAUGUGGAUCUUACCGGGUUCCUCCUGGUCUCCAGUAUGGUCAGUUUCCAUGCGCUGAAAAAAGGGAACAAAAACAACAGUACAUAAUGGACAAUGGUGAUGGUUUGCUGUUUUUAUUGCACAUUAUUUUAAGCUGCUACUUGUUCUGUUUAAUGGCAAUUUGGAUGAUGUUAGUUGGUGUUGUUUUUUUGGGGGGUAGGUGCUGCUGUUUUGUUUAGCAACUGGGUUCAAAUGCGCAGUCAACUCUUGUGUCUGUUUGCAUUCUACGAGUACGAUACUGUAUCUCUGUCUUCGAGGCAGUUUGCUUGUGUUUCAAUAGGUGCUGCUGCUUAGGUUAGCAACAGCGGUCAAAGAGGCUCUGCGGUGAACUCUGCGAUACCUACAUGGACUCAUCCUCGCUGUUGGCGCACAGGUUCAUCGUUGAGCUGUCCUUGAAUUGCACCACGAUGAUGUUCUCGCGGGGGUUCGUCUCAGGCCGCAGCGCACAUCUGCGCAUGUGAGCUUGAGGUUGACGCGGUGCACCAGCUCUCGACGGCUGUCGCUCUUGUAGAAGCAAAAGCUGCCAUCCACCCAGAGGUCACACCAGUUCAACUUCCAGCGUUUCAGCACAGACGCUACACGGUGGGAAGCAUGACCGAACAUUCCAAGAAUAAGUAACGCUUGGUUUGUUAUCAUCAGCACCCAAUGUACUCACUCUGUCUCCAAAGCCAGCCUGACCUCAUGAGUGCCAUGUUGGUCACCUGUGGUCCAAUUACAGCUAGAGGAACAGGAACAAAAUGUUCUUUCUUUUUACCUACAAUGGAACAGAUAGUGUUCCCCUGCUUGUUUAUUUUGCGUCUGACAGAUUAUCCUUUCUCCUGUCUCGAUUGAGUCACAGGAUAAUUCUGGAUUAGGCGAGCGCUUGCUCGGGCACCCCCACUUUUUCGCUUCCUUUUCACCUGGGUUAAUUUCCUCUAAACCAACACACAAACUUGGAUAAGAUAUUCUUGUGACACAACCAGCCAAAGUAGUAUGUCUUAUGUUUUGUUGACGAUAUUGUUGUCACAGAAUAUAGUAUAUAAAAUGACAUAACACCAGGAUUAGCCCAUUUCUAAAUGUCAGUUACACGACUAUUCCAAGUAUGCAUGCAAGUCUUCCCUGUUACACUGUUUUAUGUUAAUGUAUUGUGUCUUGCGCUAGAAUCUGUUUUGUUUUGAAGUUGCGGGAGGAGGAGAACCAUGCAAGUUUAAAUCCGUUUUAAAUUUUGUAUUUCCGGUACAGUGUUUACAGCGGCAGCAAAAAUGAAGUCACUGUUUUAGAGCUGUUGGGGGGGAAAUUUUGAUUUAUUAUUAACUAUUGCUUGCAAAAACACAUUUUUUAGUUUUGUUUUGAUUAAACGCGAGGAGGAUGGAAACUCCUUUUAGAAAAUACAUGACGUCAUUUCCACAACAGUGGACCCUAACUCUCAGCAGACAAAUAUAAAA